RNAcentral lists this unclassified non-coding RNA (351 nucleotides) under soil metagenome. Its description in RNAcentral is "partial contains 5.8S ribosomal RNA, internal transcribed spacer 2, and large subunit ribosomal RNA". The stretch from base 2 to 119 matches the Rfam family "5.8S ribosomal RNA", at positions 37 to 154 of the family's 154-position model. The record is from RNAcentral.
GUGAAGAACGUAGCGAAAUGCGAUAAGUAAUGUGAAUUGCAGAAUUCAGUGAAUCAUCGAAUCUUUGAACGCACAUUGCGCCCGCCAGUAUUCUGGCGGGCAUGCCUGUUCGAGCGUCAUUACAACCCUCAGGCCCCCGGGCCUGGCGUUGGGGAUCGGCGGAAGCCCCCUGCGGGCACAACGCCGUCCCCCAAAUACAGUGGCGGUCCCGCCGCAGCUUCCAUUGCGUAGUAGCUAACACCUCGCAACUGGAGAGCGGCGCGGCCACGCCGUAAAACACCCAACUUCUGAAUGUUGACCUCGAAUCAGGUAGGAAUACCCGCUGAACUUAAGCAUAUCAUAAGCGGAGGA